Molecule: ribosomal RNA, 419 nt
Filed under: Burkholderia sp. oral taxon 406
Lineage: Bacteria; Pseudomonadati; Pseudomonadota; Betaproteobacteria; Burkholderiales; Burkholderiaceae
Description: bacterial SSU rRNA
Rfam family: Bacterial small subunit ribosomal RNA
Source: RNAcentral
AUUGAACGCUGGCGGCAUGCCUUACACAUGCAAGUCGAACGGCAGCAUGUCUAGCUUGCUAGAUUGAUGGCGAGUGGCGAACGGGUGAGUAAUACAUCGGAACGUGCCCUGUAGUGGGGGAUAACUAGUCGAAAGAUUAGCUAAUACCGCAUACACCUGAGGGUGAAAGUGGGGGACCGCAAGGCCUCAUGCUAUAGGAGCGGCCGAUGUCUGAUUAGCUAGUUGGUGAGGUAAAGGCUCACCAAGGCGACGAUCAGUAGCUGGUCUGAGAGGACGAUCAGCCACACUGGGACUGAGACACGGCCCAGACUCCUACGGGAGGCAGCAGUGGGGAAUUUUGGACAAUGGGGGCAACCCUGAUCCAGCAAUGCCGCGUGUGUGAAGAAGGCCUUCGGGUUGUAAAGCACUUUUGUCCGGAA